Molecule: ribosomal RNA, 373 nt
Filed under: uncultured eukaryote
Lineage: Eukaryota
Description: partial 18S ribosomal RNA
Rfam family: Eukaryotic small subunit ribosomal RNA
Source: RNAcentral
CAAUAGCGUAUAUUAAAGUUGUUGCAGUUAAAAAGCUCGUAGUUGAAUUUUUGCUUGCCGCCGAUGUCGGAACUUCCGUACGUUCGGCGGCGUGCAUCCUUGGGUGGAACCUGUGUGGCAUUAGGUUGUCGUGCAGGGGAUGCUCAUCGUUUACUGUGAAAAAAUUAGAGUGUUCAAAGCAGGCUUACGCCGUUGAAUAUAUUAGCAUGGAAUAAUAAGAUAGGACCUUGGUACUAUUUUGUUGGUUUGCGCACCGAGGUAAUGAUUAACAGGGACAGUUGGGGGUAUUCGUAUUCCAUUGUCAGAGGUGAAAUUCUUGGAUUUCUGGAAGAUGAACUACUGCGAAAGCAUUUACCAAGGAUGUUUUCAUUAA